RNAcentral lists this ribosomal RNA (405 nucleotides) under Triticum aestivum (bread wheat). RNAcentral describes it as "partial small subunit ribosomal RNA". The record is from RNAcentral. Lineage: Eukaryota; Viridiplantae; Streptophyta; Magnoliopsida; Poales; Poaceae.
AUGCUGGCCGCGGCGAGCGCGAGCCUCGGGGCGAACGGCAGGCUGCACGCGGUGGCCCAGUGCGCCCCGUGGAACGUGACGGCGGCGGGCUGCGCCGCGUGCCUGAACAGGUCGGUGCGAGACGUGCCGGACGAGGACAGGCUGAUCGGCGGCGUCGGGCGAGGCGUGGGCUCCGUGCACCGCUACAACUGCAACCUGCGGUUCGAGAUAUCCCCGCCGGUGCCGCCGCCCAUGGGGAAAGGAGCGAGUAUCCAGAAGAGGAUUCGAGAUAACCUUGUCGUCGUCAUAGUGGGCGCCGUCGCGGUGGUCGUCGUCGUCGCGAUCAUCAUCGGAGGAGCUUUUCUCCUUGUGAAGCGAAACAGGAUGAGGAAGAGGCUCAACACAUUCCUAGCGACUCCUAGGUAG